UGCGCAGGCGGAUCUGUAAGUCAGAGGUGAAAUCUCACAGCUUAACUGUGAAACUGCCUUUGAUACUGCAGAUCUUGAGUUCGGGAGAGGUUGAUGGAAUUCCAGGUGUAGCGGUGAAAUGCGUAGAUAUCUGGAAGAACACCAGUGGCGAAGGCGGUCAACUGGCCCGUAACUGACGCUCAGGCACGAAAGCGUGGGUAGCAAACAGGAUUAGAUACCCUGGUAGUCCACGCCCUAAACGAUGAAUACUUGGUGUUGGUCUUAAUUGAUCAGUGCCGUAGGUAACCUGUUAAGUAUUCCACCUGGGGAGUACGCUCGCAAGAGUGAA
This 328-nucleotide ribosomal RNA is filed under the name uncultured Ignavibacteriota bacterium. RNAcentral's name for it is "bacterial SSU rRNA". It matches the Rfam family "Bacterial small subunit ribosomal RNA", at positions 568 to 898 of the family's 1533-position model. Lineage: Bacteria; Pseudomonadati; Ignavibacteriota. The record is from RNAcentral.